UACGUAGGGUGCGAGCGUUGUCCGGAAUUACUGGGCGUAAAGAGCUCGUAGGUGGUUUGUCACGUCGUCUGUGAAAUUCCGGGGCUUAACCUCGGGCGUGCAGGCGAUACGGGCAAUACUUGAGUGCUGUAGGGGAGACUGGAAUUCCUCGUGUAGCGGUGAAAUGCGCAGAUAUCAGGAGGAACACCAAUGGCGAAGGCAGGUCUCUGGGCAGUUACUGACGCUGAGGAGCGAAAGCAUGGGUAGCGAACAGGAUUAGAUA
RNAcentral lists this ribosomal RNA (262 nucleotides) under uncultured prokaryote. Its description in RNAcentral is "partial 16S ribosomal RNA". It matches the Rfam family "Bacterial small subunit ribosomal RNA", at positions 524 to 784 of the family's 1533-position model. The record is from RNAcentral.